This 300-nucleotide unclassified non-coding RNA is filed under the name uncultured Laccaria. RNAcentral's name for it is "sequence contains ITS2". The stretch from base 1 to 52 matches the Rfam family "5.8S ribosomal RNA", at positions 103 to 154 of the family's 154-position model. The record is from RNAcentral. Lineage: Eukaryota; Fungi; Basidiomycota; Agaricomycetes; Agaricales; Tricholomataceae.
AACGCACCUUGCGCUCCUUGGUAUUCCGAGGAGCAUGCCUGUUUGAGUGUCAUUAAAUUCUCAACCUUCCAACUUUUAUUAGCUUGGAUAGGCUUGGAUGUGGGGGUUGCAGGCUUCAUCAAUGAGGUCAGCUCUUCUUAAAUGCAUUAGCGGAACUUUUGUGGACCGUCUAUUGGUGUGAUAAUUAUCUACGCCGUGGAUGAGAAACAGCUUUAUCAAGUUCAGCUUCUAACCGUCCAUUGACUUGGACAAUUUUGACAAUUUGACCUCAAAUCAGGUAGGACUACCCGCUGAACUUAA